Molecule: RNA transcript, 3498 nt
Organism: Fundulus heteroclitus (mummichog)
Lineage: Eukaryota; Metazoa; Chordata; Actinopteri; Cyprinodontiformes; Fundulidae
Gene: gdpd5b
Gene name: glycerophosphodiester phosphodiesterase domain containing 5b
Exons: 18
Source: RefSeq, a predicted model, not a curated record
GCCUCCCUCGCUGUUACACCAGGGCUGCAGAUAAAAGAGGCCGACUCACUCUCCUCCCACCAUUUAGUACAGUGAGCCACUCAGCCGGAGGACAGGACGUAUCGCUGCUCAAAACCAAGGGUGUAUGUAUGUGUGUGAGGGAGAGAAACGCUGAAAACUGGACGUCUUUUCGCUUGAUUUAAACCGUCCAGCGAGCUCGCGGUGUUCUCCUUCGGUUGUGGUUGUAAAAAAAAAAACUUCGGCUCAGUCAGCGUUUAAACCCGGCGUCUCUCUUCCCCGCCUGUAUCUCGGACACACAAACUGCGCCCCCGGCCGUUUGGGGCGUGUGGCUCGUGGGAGAGCUCAACUUUUUACCGAGCGGACAGAAAACAAAUGAAAGUGCCCUCAGACAGACAGGAGCGUUGGGAGCCAGUGGGAUGUUAGCUGUGGCUGAGACAGCAGGAGCGACUGAAGGAGCAUGGUGAAACACCAACCCCUCCAAGUCUAUGAGCGUCAGCUGUGUUUGUCAUGCAUCACCGGGAUCUAUGGGUGCAGGUGGAAGCGCUACCAGAGGUCACAUGACGACACCACCAAGUGGGAGCUGCUGUGGUCCGUCAUCCUCCUCUUCACCUUCUCUCUGCUGCUCAUCUGGUCCUACUUCUGGUGGGAGGCAGACAACGACUACAACGAAUUCAACUGGUUCCUGUACAACCGCUCUGGGGAGUGGACCGAUGGAACGGUUCCCAUCCUGGCCACCACUGCUGCUGGCUUCACCUACAUUGCAUUUUUAAUGGUUUUAGCACUUUGCCAUGUUGCACUCGGGCAACAGCUGAAUUUGCACUGGCUUCACAAGAUUGGAGUAACUGCUGCUUUACUCACCACCGUUAUCGGGAUAAUAUCAGUCACUCAAACAUGGGAACAAGAGUGGGAUGUGAUCCCCAUCUCCUUUCAGGCUACGGGUCCCUUCCUGCACGUUGGGGCCCUCGCCGCAGCCACUGCUCUGUCUUGGAUUGUCGCUGGACAGGUUGCCCGGGCAGAAAAGACAAUCUUUCAGGUGGUGGUGGUGCUGCUGUAUCUCAGUGUGUUACUGGGACUCUAUGUUCUGCCACUUUAUCUCACCUCGCCCUGCAUCAUGGACCCCAGCACCCUUAAACCGCGGCCCGAGGUUUUCGGCCACCAGGGAGCCCCCAUGCUUGCUCCAGAGAACACUCUGUGGUCCUUCCAGCGAGCUCUGCAUAUGAACGUCAGCGGGCUGGAGGCUGACGUAGCCAUAAGUGUGGAUGGCGUACCUUUCCUAAUGCAUGACCUCACCCUGCGGAGAACCACAGAUGUAGGAAAGGUUUUUCCUGACAGAGAGAAGGACAAAGCUUCACAGUUCAACUGGACAGAUCUGCAGCAGCUCAACGCGGGACAGUGGUUCCUCAAGGACGACCCCUUCUGGACUGUGAACACCAUGACGCUGCGGGAGAGGAACCUGACCGCCAAGCAGAGCGUGUGCAGCCUGGAGCAGCUGCUGAGUCUGGCCUCCUAUCACAACAGCACGGUGGUUUUCAGGCUGCGAAGGCCGCCUCCGGAGCACCCCUGCUACGCCACGUGGAUCAACGAUACGCUGCAAGCUGUGCAGAAGUCCGGAGUUCCUCAGAGCCUGGUGAUGUGGACUCCGGAUGAUGAGCGAGCCCAGGUGACGCGGUCGGCACCUGGUUUCAUCCAGACCUCUCUGGAGAAGCACAGCCCGGAACAUCUGCACAGGUUGGGCAUCAGCAGGCUGCUGCUCAGAUACAACCAGGCCAGCGCCCGGGAAAUCGCAGAGUACUCCAGAAACAACAUCAGCCUUACCGUCUACACCGUCAACGAGCCGUGGCUGUACUCGGUGCUGUGGUGCAGCGGGGUCUCCGCCGUCUCCUCAGAGGCCCCACAUAUCCUCAAAAAGGUGCCUUAUCCCGUCUGGCUCAUGAGUCCAAAUGAAUACUGCCUGAUGUGGGUGUCUGCAGACCUCCUUUCCUUUGCUGUUGUCAUAGGAAUAUUCAUUCUGCAGAACUAUCACGUGAUCAGGUACCGGAUGAGCGGCAUGCGCAGCUACAACCCUGAGCAGAUCAUGCUGAGCGCGGCGGUCCGGACGUCCAGUCGAGACGUCAACGUCAUGAAGGAGAAGCUCAUCUUCUCUGUUCAACCUCAUUAAGGCCCCCCCCCCCCCUCCCCGUCCAGCAUCCCUUGUGUGACGUAUCGCCUCCUGGCCGUCCUACCUCAUCCACUCUCUUCGCCAGCAGCGACUAUCUCCUUUCCUCCAAACGUUUUCCCUGUUGCUCAUUAAACCUCCCUCCGCCCGUUUUUCUCCCUCUUCAUCCGUCCUUCCAACUCUUCGCACUCAUCCUCCCCACAAACCUCCUACUGGGACGUAGAGUAGGAGAUCUUAUAGAGCAGUUUGUCUAGACACCCUCUAGUCCCGGGGAAGAGAAAGGUGAGGAACGGUGGCAGCGCCGAGGAGCUGUAUGAAGAGCACGGCUUUGACUCGUACAGCGGCCAGAGCAUCAGGCAGUGAUCUUCCAGCUCAGGCGGUGUGAGUCUGCUGGAAGGACACUGAAACAUGUCAACGAGCGAAAAGUCAUGGCCCCCCCAACCCCGACCUGCUGAGGAGCCGUCUGAACGCCUCGUUGCUCCGCGGACCCUCUGUAAAUAGCGUCUCCGUCUCUCCUCUUGGACAGCAGGUUUAUCACACAACGCCGCCGGCGCUUGUUUUAAACGGAUCUGCUCUGACGACUCCUCCGCCGACGUCUAAAUGUUCAGGGACUCCCCGUCAGUCCCCUCACUUCAGGCUGAAUUUCCAAAGCGGGUUUCUUCUUAUUUUCGGCUCUGUAAAUGUUAGCGCAGCAUGGCGACGCCCCUGCCUCUGCUGUAGUUCCUGAUAGUGAUAUUUAUAUUUAAAGAGAUGAAACCUAAGACUGUUUACAGACGUCUUGCCUUCUCCUCCAGAUGGAUUAUUCACACGGUGCAUGUCAAAGUGUUUUGAUACUCCCCGCCUGCCGUACUUCUCAUCCCUGGAUCCCAAUGCAAGAACCCUGUGGACGUUGUGUGAGCUGUGCUCGCAGUAAAAAACCAGGAGAACUGCUGACGAUGGUUUAUAGGAAUAAGAUUGGCCUUUUCUUGGUUGACUGUUGUGCUUAUUGAUUGGUUUCCUUUUUGUAACGUGUUCAGUGUACUGUAUGGAUUCUGACUGGGUCUGUUUAUUUUUUUACCUUGCGUGCAGUGUUAUGAUGAUGAUGAUGAAUGUGUAAAUCGUAUAAGAGUAACUUAUCAGCAAUGUGACACUUUGAUUAUCUCAAGACGAGUAGGCAGGCCUGUGACCUGCUGUCAUUCUGUGGUAUUUUCAUGUGGGGAAACCUAAUGCAUGUAACUGUUGGUGUGAAGCCGGGGAAUAAAGUGAAGCUGGUUGAAGGGGUGCAACGCAGACUGAAUGCCGUUAGUCUGCAUUUUAUUACGGUUGGCGUGCCUGAGAAUUAAAGAUUACAUCUUCAAACACAA